GUGUUGUAUGAAAGGAGAGAAGGUCAGCACUCCCCUUGACCAGGAUGGAAGAGGCCUCAAGCCUGACAACACAUACAUGGUUAAGGCAUUGCCACCUACUUUGUGACAUCUAACCAUCAUUUUUU
This 125-nucleotide non-coding RNA is filed under the name Castor canadensis (American beaver). The record is from RNAcentral. Lineage: Eukaryota; Metazoa; Chordata; Mammalia; Rodentia; Castoridae.